RNAcentral lists this unclassified non-coding RNA (196 nucleotides) under plant metagenome. RNAcentral describes it as "partial contains small subunit ribosomal RNA, internal transcribed spacer 1, and 5.8S ribosomal RNA". The record is from RNAcentral.
UCUCCGUGGUGAACCAGCGGAGGGAUCAUUACCGAGUGCAAACUCAUAACCCUUUGUGAACCUAUAUCUGUUGCUUCGGCGGCUCGCUCUCGGGCGAGCCCGCCGGUAAUAUCAGUAUCUCUGUUUGAACCCGACGAUACUUCUGAGUGUUCUUAGCGAACAGUUAAAACUUUUAACAACGGAUCUCUUGGCUCUA